GUGUGACUGCGUACCUUUUGUAUAAUGGGUCAGCGACUUAUAUUCUGUAGCAAGGUUAACCGAAUAGGGGAGCCGAAGGGAAACCGAGUCUUAACUGGGCGUUAAGUUGCAGGGUAUAGACCCGAAACCCGGUGAUCUAGCCAUGGGCAGGUUGAAGGUUGGGUAACACUAACUGGAGGACCGAACCGACUAAUGUUGAAAAAUUAGCGGAUGACUUGUGGCUGGGGGUGAAAGGCCAAUCAAACCGGGAGAUAGCUGGUUCUCCCCGAAAGCUAUUUAGGUAGCGCCUCGUGAAUUCAUCUCCGGGGGUAGAGCACUGUUUCGGCAAGGGGGUCAUCCCGACUUACCAACCCGAUGCAAACUGCGAAUACCGGAGAAUGUUAUCACGGGAGACACACGGCGGGUGCUAACGUCCGUCGUGAAGAGGGAAACAACCCAGACCGCCAGCUAAGGUCCCAAAGUCAUGGUUAAGUGGGAAACGAUGUGGGAAGGCCCAGACAGCCAGGAUGUUGGCUUAGAAGCAGCCAUCAUUUAAAGAAAGCGUAAUAGCUCACUGGUCGAGUCGGCCUGCGCGGAAGAUGUAACGGGGCUAAACCAUGCACCGAAGCUGCGGCAGCGACGCUUAUGCGUUGUUGGGUAGGGGAGCGUUCUGUAAGCCUGCGAAGGUGUGCUGUGAGGCAUGCUGGAGGUAUCAGAAGUGCGAAUGCUGACAUAAGUAACGAUAAAGCGGGUGAAAAGCCCGCUCGCCGGAAGACCAAGGGUUCCUGUCCAACGUUAAUCGGGGCAGGGUGAGUCGACCCCUAAGGCGAGGCCGAAAGGCGUAGUCGAUGGGAAACAGGUUAAUAUUCCUGUACUUGGUGUUACUGCGAAGGGGGGACGGAGAAGGCUAUGUUGGCCGGGCGACGGUUGUCCCGGUUUAAGCGUGUAGGCUGGUUUUCCAGGCAAAUCCGGAAAAUCAAGGCUGAGGCGUGAUGACGAGGCACUACGGUGCUGAAGCAACAAAUGCCCUGCUUCCAGGAAAAGCCUCUAAGCAUCAGGUAACAUCAAAUCGUACCCCAAACCGACACAGGUGGUCAGGUAGAGAAUACCAAGGCGCUUGAGAGAACUCGGGUGAAGGAACUAGGCAAAAUGGUGCCGUAACUUCGGGAGAAGGCACGCUGAUAUGUAGGUGAAGCGACUUGCUCGUGGAGCUGAAAUCAGUCGAAGAUACCAGCUGGCUGCAACUGUUUAUUAAAAACACAGCACUGUGCAAACACGAAAGUGGACGUAUACGGUGUGACGCCUGCCCGGUGCCGGAAGGUUAAUUGAUGGGGUCAGCGCAAGCGAAGCUCUUGAUCGAAGCCCCGGUAAACGGCGGCCGUAACUAUAACGGUCCUAAGGUAGCGAAAUUCCUUGUCGGGUAAGUUCCGACCUGCACGAAUGGCGUAAUGAUGGCCAGGCUGUCUCCACCCGAGACUCAGUGAAAUUGAACUCGCUGUGAAGAUGCAGUGUACCCGCGGCAAGACGGAAAGACCCCGUGAACCUUUACUAUAGCUUGACACUGAACAUUGAGCCUUGAUGUGUAGGAUAGGUGGGAGGCUUUGAAGUGUGGACGCCAGUCUGCAUGGAGCCGACCUUGAAAUACCACCCUUUAAUGUUUGAUGUUCUAACGUGGACCCGUAAUCCGGGUUGCGGACAGUGUCUGGUGGGUAGUUUGACUGGGGCGGUCUCCUCCUAAAGAGUAACGGAGGAGCACGAAGGUUGGCUAAUCCUGGUCGGACAUCAGGAGGUUAGUGCAAUGGCAUAAGCCAGCUUGACUGCGAGCGUGACGGCGCGAGCAGGUGCGAAAGCAGGUCAUAGUGAUCCGGUGGUUCUGAAUGGAAGGGCCAUCGCUCAACGGAUAAAAGGUACUCCGGGGAUAACAGGCUGAUACCGCCCAAGAGUUCAUAUCGACGGCGGUGUUUGGCACCUCGAUGUCGGCUCAUCACAUCCUGGGGCUGAAGUAGGUCCCAAGGGUAUGGCUGUUCGCCAUUUAAAGUGGUACGCGAGCUGGGUUUAGAACGUCGUGAGACAGUUCGGUCCCUAUCUGCCGUGGGCGCUGGAGAACUGAGGGGGGCUGCUCCUAGUACGAGAGGACCGGAGUGGACGCAUCACUGGUGUUCGGGUUGUCAUGCCAAUGGCACUGCCCGGUAGCUAAAUGCGGAAGAGAUAAGUGCUGAAAGCAUCUAAGCACGAAACUUGCCCCGAGAUGAGUUCUCCCUGACUCCUUGAGAGUCCUGAAGGAACGUUGAAGACGACGACGUUGAUAGGCCGGGUGUGUAAGCGCAGCGAUGCGUUGAGCUAACCGGUACUAAUGAACCGUGAGGCUUAACCUUACAACGCCGAAG
RNAcentral lists this ribosomal RNA (2366 nucleotides) under Escherichia coli. RNAcentral describes it as "bacterial LSU rRNA". It matches the Rfam family "Bacterial large subunit ribosomal RNA", at positions 591 to 2925 of the family's 2925-position model. Lineage: Bacteria; Pseudomonadati; Pseudomonadota; Gammaproteobacteria; Enterobacterales; Enterobacteriaceae. The record is from RNAcentral.